AAGGCCAAACUUCAUCCUAACACACCCUCCUUUGCGUGAUGAUGAUGAUGAUGGAGACGAUGGAGUUGGGAUUUGGAAUGUUGAAAAGGCUGCAAGUCUUUCAUCACGGAAUUGAGCAUCUUGCACAAGCGGAUUCGAAACCCUACUAGGAGGUGACCCACAAAAAAAUGGAGGUGACGAUGCUACUUGUGUCGCAGAUUGUUCUAUUCCGAAAUCCUCCUGCUACAAACAAACCAUAAACAUGUUAAAACGAGUUCACCCUGAAAACAAAAAUAUUAAAACCAUGUGUGCUUAAACUCAAAACAAAAAAUUUUGAAACUCCGUAAGUUUGAUUUGUCCAGAAAUUUUAUGUUUAAAGGAUCAUAACGUCGUCACGCGAAAGCCACAGAUUAGCGACAAACAGAGUUAUAUUCAUAUUUUUCUAAGAUUUUCACGUAUUUAAAAGGUCUUUGAAGAUCAUAUAGACUCAUGUUUAGAUAUUUCAUGUAUUUUGAAGAGCUUGGAACUUUGAAGGAGCAUAUCCUUUUAGUGUACUCGAAUAUGAUUCAAACACAAGUCUCAAAUGGAAGUGCGAAAAGUUAGAGCUGGGAUUCAAC
This 596-nucleotide long non-coding RNA is filed under the name Gossypium raimondii (Peruvian cotton). RNAcentral's name for it is "long non-coding RNA (GRAI_LNC005306)". The record is from RNAcentral. Lineage: Eukaryota; Viridiplantae; Streptophyta; Magnoliopsida; Malvales; Malvaceae.